GAUGAACGCUGGCGGCGUGCUUAACACAUGCAAGUCGAACGGAAAGGCUCCUGCUUUCAGGGGUACUCGAGUGGCGAACGGGUGAGUAACACGUGGGUGAUCUGCCCUUCACUUCGGGAUAAGCCUUGGAAACUGGGUCUAAUACCGGAUAGGACGAUGUUUUGGAUGCCAUUGUGGAAAGUUUUUCGGUUUGGGAUGAGCUCGCGGCCUAUCAGCUUGUUGGUGGGGUAAUGGCUUACCAAGGCGUCGACGGGUAGCCGGCCUGAGAGGGUGUACGGCCACAUUGGGACUGAGAUACGGCCCAGAAUCCUACGGGAGGCAGCAGUGGGGAAUAUUGCACAAUGGGCGCAAGCCUGAUGCAGAGACGUCGCGUGGGGGAUGACGGCCUUCGGGUUGUAAACUCCUUUCGCUAGGGACGAAGCGCAAGUGACGGUACCUGGAGAAGAAGCACCGGCUAACUACGUG
This 465-nucleotide ribosomal RNA is filed under the name uncultured bacterium. RNAcentral's name for it is "partial 16S ribosomal RNA". It matches the Rfam family "Bacterial small subunit ribosomal RNA", at positions 28 to 507 of the family's 1533-position model. The record is from RNAcentral.